UUCCGGUUGAUCCUGCCGGAGGCGACCGCUUUGGGAGUUCGAUUAAGCCAUGCGAGUCGUGAGUCUUAGGGACUCGGCAUACUGCUCAGUGACACGUGGAUAACCUGCCCUAUCCUCCGGAAUAACCUCGGGAAACUGAGAAUAAUACCGGAUAGAUCACAACGCCUGGAACGGUGUGUGGUUGAAAGAUUACGGCAUAGGAUGGGUCUGCGGCGUAUCAGGUUGUAGGGGGUGUAAAGGACCUCCUAGCCAUCGACGCGUACGGGUGUUGGGAGACAUAGCCCGGAGAUGGAUUCUGAGACACGAAUCCAGACCCUACGGGGUGCAGCAGGCGCGAAAACUUCACACUGCAGGAAACUGUGAUGAGGGAACUCCAAGUGCACGCACUUAGUGUGUGCUUUUUUCAACUAUUAAUCGGUUGAAGAAUAAGGGCUGGGAAAGACCGGUGCCAGCCGCCGCGGUAAUACCGGCAGCUCAAGUGGUCGUCGCUUUUAUUGGGCCUAAAACGUCCGUAGCCUGUUUGGUAAAUCUGUGGGUAAAUCAACCAGCUUAACUGGUUGAAUUCUGCAGAGACUGCCAGACUAGGGACCGGGAGAGGUGUGGGGUACUCUAGGGGUAGGGGUAAAAUCCUGUCAUCCUUAGAGGACCACCAGUUGCGAAGGCGCCACACUGGAACGGAUCCGACGGUCAGGGACGAAGCCUAGGGGCACGAACCGGAUUAGAUACCCGGGUAGUCCUAGGUGUAAACGCUGUGAACUUGGUGUCGGGGAUCCGUCAUGGGUCCCCGGUGCCGGAGUGAAGAUGUUAAGUUCACUGCCUGGGGAGUACGGUCGCAAGGCUGAAACUUAAAGGAAUUGGCGGGGGAGCACUGCAACGGGAGGAGCGUGCGGUUUAAUUGGAUUCAACGCCGGA
This 912-nucleotide ribosomal RNA is filed under the name uncultured archaeon. RNAcentral describes it as "bacterial SSU rRNA". It matches the Rfam family "Archaeal small subunit ribosomal RNA", at positions 1 to 922 of the family's 1478-position model. The record is from RNAcentral.